UAUGUGAUCGUCUCUCGCAUAUCAAUAAGCGGAGGAAAAGAAACUAACAAGGAUUCCCCUAGUAACGGCGAGUGAAGCGGGAAGAGCUCAAAUUCGAAAUCUUAAAGGGUUUCCCUUUACGAAUUGUAGUUUAAAGAAGUGUUUUCUGUUGAGGUUUUUGGUAAAAGUUCUUUGGAAUAGGACAUCAUAGAGGGUGAGAAUCCCGUAUUUGACCUUUACUUUCAACUUUGUGAUACACUUUCAAAGAGUCGGAUUGUUUGGGAAUGCAGUCCAAAAUGGGUGGUAAAUUUCAUCUAAAGCUAAAUAUUGGCGAGAGACCGAUAGCGAACAAGUACCGUGAGGGAAAGAUGAAAAGAACUUUGAAAAGAGAGUUAAACAGUACGUGAAAUUGUCCAAAAGGGAAGCGUUUGACACCAGUGUUGUUUUUUCUGAAAAUCAAUUAAAGAAACUGUUUUAUGCUAAGUUGUUUAGACUUUAUCAGCUAACUGUUUAGUUUUGAGCUUUUCUUUAAUGCACUUUUCAGUUAACAAGUCAACAUCAAUUUCUUUUGCUGUAAAAAAGCUUGAGGAAGGUGGCUUGAGAUUCGUCUUAAGUGUUUAUAGCCUCUUGCCUAUGCAGUCGGAGAGAUUGAGGUCUGCAGCGUAGAUCCUUCGGGGCUAAAUGCAUUUGUGCUAAGUUAUAACAUUUUAUAGACAACUUGUUGACUAUGAUUUGUCUUGUAGCUUACUCGCUUAUGUUAUUUUACCUACGCUUAGGAUGUUGAAGUCAUCGUAUCGCGC
This 779-nucleotide ribosomal RNA is filed under the name uncultured Neocallimastigales. RNAcentral's name for it is "partial large subunit ribosomal RNA". It matches the Rfam family "Eukaryotic large subunit ribosomal RNA", at positions 24 to 645 of the family's 3401-position model. Lineage: Eukaryota; Fungi; Neocallimastigomycota; Neocallimastigomycetes; Neocallimastigales. The record is from RNAcentral.